GGUAAAAUGGCUGAAUAUAGGCGGUAAAUUGUAAAUUUACUAAUGAAUAUUUUUUAAUGUUCUUUUUCCA
Molecule: transfer RNA, 70 nt
Filed under: Sejus (Epicroseius) sp. SJD-2001
Lineage: Eukaryota; Metazoa; Arthropoda; Arachnida; Mesostigmata; Sejidae
Description: tRNA-Tyr
Source: RNAcentral